Nicotiana tabacum (common tobacco) is the source of this 874-nucleotide long non-coding RNA. RefSeq lists it as uncharacterized. The record is from RefSeq and is a predicted model, not a curated record. NCBI's taxonomy places the organism in Eukaryota, Viridiplantae, Streptophyta, Magnoliopsida, Solanales, Solanaceae.
ACGGUUGUGAAACCGUUACUAUAGACUGUAUAUCGCAACGAUUGUAACCGUUGCAUAAGGUUUUGCUAUCACCACACUUUAGCACUGAAGUCGUUGCAUUAGUGUCGAAACCGUUGCAGUAUAGUGACUUUUUGCAACGGCUUUUGUAAUUGUUGCAAUAAAUAAGGCCCUCCUACAAUUGUGACACUACUUUCCUCGACUAACCUCACAUUUGAGAACCGUCUACCACCAUCAAAACCAAAAGCGAUGGCCGCCCAACUUCAAUAAUUUCACCACACUUACUGUUAGACUCAUGCAAUCUAUCCUAAAGCCAUCAAUUCAUCCCGCAAAAUCGUCGUCGGUAGAUCUAUUUGAGGCUUCUUCGCUAGAAAUCGGUGGCUGAGGGAGAACAAGAGGAAGUUAUAAAUUUUUAGGGUUUCUUCCUUAAUCAUCUUUUUAACUUAUUAAUUUCUUGUUGAGUCCAUUAUUUUCUUUCAAUUGAAGCUUUGAAUCUAAAUUGGGGAUCUCUUAAGGUUUCUUAUAUUUUAUAAUUUUGGCCCAAUUACAAGUCCCAGCUCAGGUUUUGCUUUGCCUCUCGCCUUUGGUGGUUUACUAGGGCUGCUAUAUCUAUGCUUGAGCAGGUUUGCAAUUGGCUUUAUCUCCUACUAUGGCCUUCUUGAAGGUGAAGCAUAUGAACAAGGGUAGAUGAAAGGUGUGAAGAUCUUACUCAAGAGUAUUAGUUGAUUGUUGUUAAACUUUUAGAUGUUCUAGAAUCUUUUAUUUUAGAAACUUUUGCCAACUUAUGUAUUAACUCUUGAAUUGCCAAACGACAUUGUAUAUUUAGCUUUUAUAUAUGGAUAAUACUAGUUGGAUAUUUUAGAUAUAAUUUUAUAUA